UAUCAUGGGUGUACUGGGCACAUGCGUCCAGGAUCAAGAGCACUGGAGGAGGCCUUCCUGAACCUCCGCAACCCUGGGACACACGCUGGGUCAUGAACACAGCCCACACUGGCAACCAGCACAGUUUGGGGGUCAAUCUCUACCUCACAGUGUACAGGAAAAGUACAAUUAAACUGCCCGGAACUUUGGUCAUAACAAACUGCUUCUAAAUGGCUCCCAGGGGCUUUCUUGUGUUAUUUCAGUAACAAUACCAAUUUAAAUGGAUAACCCUGAUUUCUAAAAAUCCAAAGCCAUAUAUUAUUAAUAGUCUUUGAGAAACAUAAGCCGUAUAUCAGUUAACCUCAUGGAGUCUCUUUUGGGGGCCAUGGAGGCUGAGUUUUCUUGGAAGCACUCACCUAGUGACACCAGAUUAUUGACCAGAACAUGCCCGAGUGUACCUUUAGACGGCACCCUUGAUUUUCACCAGUAAAACCCUGGGAAGUGUUUGAACAAAGGCAGCCCUAUUUUUAGUGAACAUUCAUGCUGAUUAAUAGGGCAGGAGAGUUUGGGGGGGAGUGGGAGAAAGUAGAGGGUUUGGAUGAAUGCCGGGGUGCAGAAAAGGCAGUCUUUUCAGCAUUUCGGGGCCCACAGCCUCACAGCGCUGCUUGCUUCUCAGCCAAGUGGAAACUGCACUCGGCACAGCGGCAGAUGAUCAGCUGCACUCAUAUUACCUUAUGUCACCAAGACGGUGAAGACAAGUUUCUGAAAUGAUUUUUCAUCCAAAGCCCUGAAAUGAUUUUGGGAAAGUCGAUAUUUUAAAAGGCCAUUUUCCUGAGAUAAGAACUGAGUUUGACGUCUGGGAUGAGGAUCUUGAUCAAGAGAAACAACCUUCACACCAAAGGGGGAUGCCUUGCCUGAAAGAGUGAGCUAACUAUGUUAAAUUUAGAAAAGAACAAUGGAGUUGACUUUAGCAUGUUUUCUACUGUGAUCUCUGUUACCCAGAAACAAAUACUAAAUGACGUUAAUGUCACUUUAAUUCUUUAAAAUGUUAAGUGGAAAUGGGGAAAAAGAACAAUCACUGGGCAUGAGAAAAAUUGCUGUCUUAAAAAAUCCAACAUCUAGAAUUAUAUGAAUAAGUACCCCCCAGAUACUCAGCAGUUGUCAAUAAUAUUUUUAACAGGGCUUGGAUCACCAGAAGUCAGGCAUGGGCACCUCAGCCCCCAGUGUUUUGUGGCCGUGAGGUGGCUGGAGACAGCUUAGUGUUUUCCCACCUUACAUCAGAUAGAAAAAAGUUGCUAAGAGCCCAGCAAUGCUCACGCACAUGAUGUAAAAGUGAAAAUGCACACAGAAUUCAAUUACAUCUUGCAAGAAAAGUGACUGAGACAUGUCACAAAAGUUGGGCAAGGAAGAAUUACCCAACUAACGUCAGAGUUCCUAUAUCAGACUGUGAUCACUUUAGAUUUGCCAAAGAAACAAAAUAAAUGAUGAAUUAAUCCUUGAUAUUACUCUAAU
RNAcentral lists this long non-coding RNA (1491 nucleotides) under Sus scrofa (pig). Its description in RNAcentral is "lncRNA (ENSSSCG00070013772.1)". The record is from RNAcentral. Lineage: Eukaryota; Metazoa; Chordata; Mammalia; Artiodactyla; Suidae.